This 1116-nucleotide long non-coding RNA is filed under the name Bos indicus x Bos taurus (hybrid cattle). RNAcentral's name for it is "lncRNA (ENSBIXG00000017694.1)". The record is from RNAcentral. Lineage: Eukaryota; Metazoa; Chordata; Mammalia; Artiodactyla; Bovidae.
AAGGCGCUGCACUGUUGGUGGUUUGGUUCGGGGGUUCCCCAGGUGAGCGCCCCCACCUACUCCCCCAGGACUUACGGAGUCAGACGGUGCAGGGGUGUGAGCGUCCAGUGGUAUUUGGGAACCACGUGUCCUGGUCUGGAGAAAGGGCGGCGUCUUCUUUGUGGCCGGGGAAGAAGGAAGGAGGCCCCGGGCCCUGAACGGGGGCGGAAGCUCGGGUUUCUGUCUCACCUGCUGCUCCCAAGCACCGAGGAGCUGCUGGGGGGGGGGGGGGGGGGGGGGGGCGGGGAGUGGCCUGGGGGCGCCUGCGCUGCGCCCGCCUCGCCCCUCGGACCCAGGAAUCCGGACCCCCAGGGCGUUCUCCCUCAGACCCGGGGGUCCAGGGCCGCAGCCCCUCCUCCCUCAGACCCGGGGGUCCAGGACCCCACCCCUCUUCCCUCAGACUCGGGGGUCUGGACCCCAAGCCCCUCCUCCCUCGGACCCUGGAGUCUGGACCCCAAGCCCCUCCUCCCUUGGAUCUGGGAGUCCGUACCCCUAGGCGGUCCUCCCCAACCCAGAACUGCAGCCCCCGCCGAAUGCCUACACAGCCACACUGCCCUCCAGCUGCACGUGAAGAAAGGGGCUGGGCUCGGCCAGGUCUGCGUCGGUCCUGGCCCAGAGCCACUGAGACCUGGGGCUGUGGCCUCCCCACUCCUACCCCUGUCUUCCCCAUCAGUGGGGCACCAGUCCCAGCCUGCCCCCACCCCACCCCCCAAGGCUGAGCUCAGAAAACAUUUGUGGCAUGGACGCUCAGGGACGCGAAGUGACAGAAGCGGGGCACAGAAGAAAGCAGGGCCCCUCCCGCGGCGGCACCCGGGUGGGCGCGGGGCGAGGGGUCGCACUGGGCCGGCUCCUCUGCGCCGGCCAGCGCCCGGCACGCGGGCAGGCGCGUCAGCCCUCCCCUCCGCGGCUCCCGACCGGGACACCCUUCCCUCACCCUCCAGGCCACCUGGGGUUGCCAAACUUGCCCUUCAGGUUUGGCUCCGGCCGCCCCGCCCCUCCUUCCUCCAGGAAGCCUGCCUUGACCCUCUGAACCGCCUCUUCUGGGCUCCCAAGUCACCCUCGGCGUUGCUGUUGUAG